GUGUCAGCAGCCGCGGUAAUACGGAGGGUGCAAGCGUUGUUCGGAAUCACUGGGCGUAAAGCGCGUGUAGGCGGCCCUCUAAGUCCGAUGUGAAAGCCCGGGGCUCACCCCCGGAAGUGCAUUGGAUACUGGAGGGCUGGAGUACCGGAGAGGAGGGUGGAAUUCCUGGUGUAGCGGUGAAAUGCGUAGAUAUCAGGAGGAACACCUGUGGCGAAGGCGGCCCUCUGGACGGAUACUGACGCUGAGACGCGAAAGCGUGGGGAGCAAACAGGAUUAGAUACCCUCGUAGUCC
This 292-nucleotide ribosomal RNA is filed under the name uncultured bacterium. Its description in RNAcentral is "partial 16S ribosomal RNA". It matches the Rfam family "Bacterial small subunit ribosomal RNA", at positions 505 to 796 of the family's 1533-position model. The record is from RNAcentral.